Dictyocaulus viviparus (bovine lungworm) is the source of this 73-nucleotide non-coding RNA. The record is from Rfam. NCBI's taxonomy places the organism in Eukaryota, Metazoa, Nematoda, Chromadorea, Rhabditida, Metastrongylidae.
GCCUCGGUAGUGUAAUGGAUCGGCACUGCAGACCGGAUAUCUGUAAGCGCCGGUUCGAGUCCCGCCUUAGGUU